RNAcentral lists this ribosomal RNA (558 nucleotides) under Hanseniaspora opuntiae. RNAcentral's name for it is "eukaryotic LSU rRNA". It matches the Rfam family "Eukaryotic large subunit ribosomal RNA", at positions 58 to 630 of the family's 3401-position model. The record is from RNAcentral. Lineage: Eukaryota; Fungi; Ascomycota; Saccharomycetes; Saccharomycodales; Saccharomycodaceae.
AAAGAAACCAACUGGGAUUACCUUAGUAACGGCGAGUGAAGCGGUAAAAGCUCAAAUUUGAAAUCUGGUACUUUCAGUGCCCGAGUUGUAAUUUGUAGAAUUUGUCUUUGAUUAGGUCCUUGUCUAUGUUCCUUGGAACAGGACGUCAUAGAGGGUGAGAAUCCCGUUUGGCGAGGAUACCUUUUCUCUGUAAGACUUUUUCGAAGAGUCGAGUUGUUUGGGAAUGCAGCUCAAAGUGGGUGGUAAAUUCCAUCUAAAGCUAAAUAUUGGCGAGAGACCGAUAGCGAACAAGUACAGUGAUGGAAAGAUGAAAAGAACUUUGAAAAGAGAGUGAAAAAGUACGUGAAAUUGUUGAAAGGGAAGGGCAUUUGAUCAGACAUGGUGUUUUUUGCAUGCACUCGCCUCUCGUGGGCUUGGGCCUCUCAAAAAUUUCACUGGGCCAACAUCAAUUCUGGCAGUAGGAUAAAUCAUUAAGAAUGUAGCUACCUCGGUAGUGUUAUAGCUUAUUGGAAUACUGCUAGCUGGGAUUGAGGACUGCGCUUCGGCAAGGAUGUUGGC